UACAGAGGUCUCAAGCGUUGUUCGGAUUCAUUGGGCGUAAAGGGUGCGUAGGCGGCUUUCUAAGUCUGAUGUGAAAUCCCGGGGCUCAACCCUGGAACUGCAUUGGAUACUGGGAGGCUAGAGUACUGGAGAGGAAACUGGAAUUUACGGUGUAGCAGUGAAAUGCGUAGAUAUCGUAAGGAAGACCAGUGGCGAAGGCGAGUUUCUGGACAGUUACUGACGCUGAGGCACGAAGGCCAGGGGAGCAAACGGG
RNAcentral lists this ribosomal RNA (253 nucleotides) under uncultured bacterium. RNAcentral's name for it is "partial 16S ribosomal RNA". It matches the Rfam family "Bacterial small subunit ribosomal RNA", at positions 524 to 776 of the family's 1533-position model. The record is from RNAcentral.